CCUACGGGAGGCAGCAGUAAGGAAUAUUGGACAAUGGGCGAAAGCCUGAUCCAGCCAUGCCGCGUGAAGGAUUAAGGUCCUCUGGAUUGUAAACUUCUUUUAUCUGGGACGAAAAAAGGGAAUUCUUUCCCACUUGACGGUACCAGGUGAAUAAGCACCGGCUAACUCCGUGCCAGCAGCCGCGGUAAUACGGAGGGUGCAAGCGUUAUCCGGAUUCACUGGGUUUAAAGGGUGCGUAGGCGGGUAGGUAAGUCAGUGGUGAAAUCCUGGAGCUUAACUCCAGAACUGCCAUUGAUACUAUUUAUCUUGAAUAUUGUGGAGGUUUGCGGAAUAUGUCAUGUAGCGGUGAAAUGCUUAGAUAUGACAUAGAACACCUAUUGCGAAGGCAGCAGGCUACACAUAUAUUGACGCUGAGGCACGAAAGCGUGGGGAUCAAACAGGAUUAGAUACCCUGGUAGUCCACGCCCUAAACUAUGGAUACUCGACAUACGCGAUACACUGUGUGUGUCUGAGCGAAAGCAUUAAGUAUCCCACCUGGGAAGUACGACCGCAAGGUUGAAACUUAAAUGAAUUGACGGCUGAGAGNGCGACGGACGACACGAGGGAGGAGG
This 611-nucleotide ribosomal RNA is filed under the name uncultured bacterium. RNAcentral's name for it is "bacterial SSU rRNA". It matches the Rfam family "Bacterial small subunit ribosomal RNA", at positions 338 to 951 of the family's 1533-position model. The record is from RNAcentral.